GAUGAACGCUGGCGGCGUGCUUAACACAUGCAAGUCGAACGGAAAGGCCCCUGCUUGCAGGGGUACUCGAGUGGCGAACGGGUGAGUAACACGUGGGUGAUCUGCCCUGCACUUCGGGAGAAGCCUGGGAAACUGGGUCUAAUACCGGAUAGGACUACAUGUUGGAUGGUGUGGUGGAAAGUUUUUCGGUGUGGGAUGAGCUCGCGGCCUAUCAGCUUGUUGGUGGGGUAAUGGCCUACCAAGGCGUCGACGGGUAGCCGGCCUGAGAGGGUGUACGGCCACAUUGGAACUGAGAAACGGCCCAGACUCCUGCGGGAGGCAGCAGUGGGGAGUAUUGCACAAUGGGCGCAAGCCUGAUGCAGCGACGCCGCGUGCGGGAUGACGGCUUUCGGGUUGUAAGCUCCUUUCGCUAGGGACGAAGCGUUUUUGUGACGGUACCUGGAGAAGAAGCACCGGCUAACUACGUG
This 467-nucleotide ribosomal RNA is filed under the name uncultured bacterium. RNAcentral describes it as "partial 16S ribosomal RNA". It matches the Rfam family "Bacterial small subunit ribosomal RNA", at positions 28 to 507 of the family's 1533-position model. The record is from RNAcentral.